GACGGGGGGUGUAAGCGUUAUCCGGAAUCACUGGGCGUAAAGCGUCUGUAGGUGGUGAUGCAAGUCACUGGUGCAAAACUCUGGCUCAACCGGAGGAAAGCCAGUGAAACUGCAUGACUAGAGUGUGGGAGAGGUAGAAGGAAUUCCCUGAGUAGCGGUGAAAUGCGUAGAUACAGGGAAGAACACGGGAGGCGAAAGCGUUCUACUGGAACACAACUGACACUGAGAGACGAAAGCUAGGGGAGCGAAUGGG
RNAcentral lists this ribosomal RNA (253 nucleotides) under uncultured bacterium. RNAcentral's name for it is "partial 16S ribosomal RNA". It matches the Rfam family "Bacterial small subunit ribosomal RNA", at positions 524 to 776 of the family's 1533-position model. The record is from RNAcentral.